Molecule: ribosomal RNA, 462 nt
Filed under: uncultured bacterium
Lineage: Bacteria
Description: partial 16S ribosomal RNA
Rfam family: Bacterial small subunit ribosomal RNA
Source: RNAcentral
ACGAACGCUGGCGGCGUGCUUAACACAUGCAAGUCGAACGGAAAGGCCUUUUCGGAGGUACUCGAGUGGCGAACGGGUGAGUAACACGUGGGUGAUCUGCCCUGCACUCUGGGAUAAGCCUGGGAAACUGGGUCUAAUACCGGAUAGGACCGCACUUUAGUGUGCGUGGUGGAAAGUUUUUUCGGUGUAGGAUGAGCCCGCGGCCUAUCAGCUUGUUCGUGGGGUAAUGGCCUACCAAGGCGGCGACGGGUAGCCGGACUGAGAGGUUGGUCGGCCACAUUGGGACUGAGACACGGCCCAGACUCCUACGGGAGGCAGCAGUGGGGAAUAUUGCACAAUGGGCGCAAGCCUGAUGCAGCGACGCCGCGUGGGGGAUGACGGCCUUCGGGUUGUAAACUCCUUUCGCCAGGGACGAAGCGUUUUGUGACGGUACCUGGAGAAGAAGCACCGGCUAACUACGUG